GGCUUCGUGGUGUAGUGGUCAGCACGCUCGACGCGUAACCGAGAGGUCCGUGGUUCGAUUCCCGGCGAAGGCG
RNAcentral lists this transfer RNA (73 nucleotides) under Stegodyphus mimosarum. It matches the Rfam family "tRNA". Rfam says of the family: Transfer RNA (tRNA) molecules are approximately 80 nucleotides in length. Their secondary structure includes four short double-helical elements and three loops (D, anti-codon, and T loops). Further hydrogen bonds mediate the characteristic L-shaped molecular structure. tRNAs have two regions of fundamental functional importance: the anti-codon, which is responsible for specific mRNA codon recognition, and the 3' end, to which the tRNAs corresponding amino acid is attached (by aminoacyl-tRNA synthetases). tRNAs cope with the degeneracy of the genetic code in two manners: having more than one tRNA (with a specific anti-codon) for a particular amino acid; and 'wobble' base-pairing, i.e. permitting non-standard base-pairing at the 3rd anti-codon position. The record is from Rfam by way of RNAcentral. Lineage: Eukaryota; Metazoa; Arthropoda; Arachnida; Araneae; Eresidae.